UGAGUUUCUCAGUUUGAUAUGUUCUUGAAAUCAUUCUUUAACGUAAAAUUUCACAUUUGGAAUUUGAAGAGAGUGGUGAUCCUGAGAAGCAUUACCAAGAUCUGUUUUCAUUAGCCAAAGAAGGAGUGCAGAAAGGGAAGGUGCUACUUCUUCUCAUACUUUUAACUGGUUUAGAGUUUUCAUAUCGGUUUUGUGUUGGUCUCACUUUCUGAUUAGUACUGCGAUAUCAAGAACACACACACACCGGGAUGAAGUUUGUAAAGUCGACCUGGCCUUCUAAGAAGAAGGAGAAGUAUGAUCAAGAUUGCAUUGUCAAAGGCCGUAACGAGCCUUGUUUGGUUCGACAAGUUCUUGAGGUGGUGGCUGGCCAUAAAAGAUAAUACAUUACACCAUUUAAUGGAAGAAACAUUUUUGAAUAAGAUGACAGUCAAUCACACGUCUUUUUAUCUCA
This is a long non-coding RNA of Brassica napus (rape), 451 nucleotides long. RefSeq lists it as uncharacterized. NCBI's taxonomy places the organism in Eukaryota, Viridiplantae, Streptophyta, Magnoliopsida, Brassicales, Brassicaceae. The record is from RefSeq and is a predicted model, not a curated record. The transcript is spliced from 2 exons.